GAAUUUUAUAAUUAGGUUUACUAAAGAAAGAGGUGUAAUUAUUUUAUUUUAGUUUAUUGUUAAUUAUUUGAUUGGGAGGAUUUCUAAAUUAAUUAAACUUUAGAGUUAUAAUUUAAACGAUUAUCUAUGAUUUUGGUUGAUUAUUUUUUAAUAUUGUAGAAUUAAUUACCUUAGGGAUAACAGCGUAAUACUUUUGGUUAGUUCAUAUAAAUAAAGGUGAUUGC
RNAcentral lists this ribosomal RNA (224 nucleotides) under Pseudomyrmex pallidus group sp. GR-2021. RNAcentral's name for it is "partial large subunit ribosomal RNA". The record is from RNAcentral. Lineage: Eukaryota; Metazoa; Arthropoda; Insecta; Hymenoptera; Formicidae.